AUAGUCAUGGAAAGGCUGAUUCAAAAAUUGAGAAAGGAAUUGGUGGUAGUACUACAAAUUCCAUAAAAGAACUUGUUAGCAAUGAAUCCCUAGGUGCUAAUAUUGGCAGAUUUCACCAUCAGAAGACUGUUCUGAUUAUGGAUGAGGUUGAUGGCAUGACUACUCCUAGAUUUCCUAUUCUUUCGGAGUUGGCUCGUGAUGUGUUGGCAAUUCCAAUUUCUAAUGUGGCGUCGGAAUGCACGUUUAGCACUGGUGGUCGUAUUCUUGAUUCAUUUAGGAGUUCAUUGACUCCUAAAUGUGUGCAAGCUCUUAUUUGUGUUGCACUGUAUUUAAGUGUUAAUACUUAAGACUGUUUUUGUUGGA
This is a non-coding RNA of Nicotiana tabacum (common tobacco), 363 nucleotides long. The record is from RefSeq and is a predicted model, not a curated record. Lineage: Eukaryota; Viridiplantae; Streptophyta; Magnoliopsida; Solanales; Solanaceae.